RNAcentral lists this ribosomal RNA (662 nucleotides) under uncultured bacterium. RNAcentral's name for it is "partial 16S ribosomal RNA". It matches the Rfam family "Bacterial small subunit ribosomal RNA", at positions 142 to 822 of the family's 1533-position model. The record is from RNAcentral.
GAUAACAGUUAGAAAUGACUGCUAAUACCGCAUAAGCGCACAGUCUCGCAUGGGACAGUGUGAAAAACUGAGGUGGUGUGAGAUGGAUCCGCGUCUGAUUAGGCAGUUGGCGGGGUAACGGCCCACCAAACCAACGAUCAGUAGCCGGCCUGAGAGGGUGAACGGCCACAUUGGGACUGAGACACGGCCCAAACUCCUACGGGAGGCAGCAGUGGGGAAUAUUGCACAAUGGGGGAAACCCUGAUGCAGCGACGCCGCGUGAAGGAAGAAGUAUUUCGGUAUGUAAACUUCUAUCAGNANUNAAGAAAGUGACGGUACCUGACUAAGAAGCCCCGGNUAACUACGUGCCAGCAGCCGCGGUAAUACGUAGGGGGCAAGCGUUAUCCGGAUUUACUGGGUGUAAAGGGAGCGUAGGCGGNGAUGCAAGUCAGAAGUGAAAGCCCGGGGCUCAACUCCGGNACUGCUUUUGAAACUGUAUGGCUAGAUUGCAGGAGAGGCNAGUGGAAUUCUUAGUGUANCGGUGAAAUGCNUAGAUAUUANGAGGNACAUCANUGGCGUAGGCGGCUUNNUGNACUGUAACUGANGUUGAGGCUCGAAAGCNUGNNGAGCAAANAGGUUAGAUACCCUGGUANGUCCACGCGGUAAWCGAUGAUNACUAGGUG